AACCAGUGGACCGGCAUGGAAUGGUUCCACUGGGAACCAGUUUAACAUGUUGGGAAGCACCACACGACUCAUAGGAAACAUUAACAGCUGUUGUUCCCCAGCUGCGUGUAUUGGACAGGUGCGUGUGUUGACCAGGUGCGCGUGUUGGCCAGGUGUGCGUACGUUUCUCAGAUGUGCAUGUAACCUCAUUGGUCAGUGAUGAGCAGUAAAAGGUCUGAUUACCCACAAUCCUCUCCUGCUGCCCUCUGGCUCCCAGCAGCCCCUGCUCUGUGCUCCCAUCAUGCUCUAGUGGUGCAGUGGUGGUCCCAGGAGCUGCUGACAGACAGACAGGAUGUGACAUCACAGCGUGGGUCUGUACAGAGACCCUACAGGCUCAGUGUGAUGAUGAUUGACAUCCAACA
Long non-coding RNA from Sebastes umbrosus (honeycomb rockfish), 401 nucleotides. RefSeq lists it as uncharacterized. The transcript is spliced from 2 exons. The record is from RefSeq and is a predicted model, not a curated record. NCBI's taxonomy places the organism in Eukaryota, Metazoa, Chordata, Actinopteri, Perciformes, Sebastidae.